Molecule: ribosomal RNA, 460 nt
Filed under: uncultured bacterium
Lineage: Bacteria
Description: partial 16S ribosomal RNA
Rfam family: Bacterial small subunit ribosomal RNA
Source: RNAcentral
CCUACGGGAGGCAGCAGUGAGGAAUAUUGGUCAAUGGACGAAAGUCUGAACCAGCCAUGCCGCGUGCAGGAUGACGGCUCUAUGAGUUGUAAACUGCUUUUGUAUGAGGGUAAACACCCCUACGUGUAGGGGCUUGAAAGUAUAAUACGAAUAAGGAUCGGCUAACUCCGUGCCAGCAGCCGCGGUAAUACGGAGGAUCCAAGCGUUAUCCGGAUUUAGUGGGUUUAAAGGGUGCGUAGGCGGUUUGAGAAGUUAGAGGUGAAAUACCGGUGCUCAACACCGGAACUGCCUCUCAUACUGUUGCCCUAGAUCGUAGUUGCGGUAGGCGGAAUCUCUGGUGUAGCGGUGAAAUGCUUAGAGAUCAUCCAGAACACCGAUUGCGAAGGCAGCUUCCCAAACUUUAUCUGACGUUGAGGCACGAAAGCGUGGGUAGCAAACAGGAUUAGAUACCCCUGUAGUC